GGAGGCCUGGCUGGAGAUGAACCCGGGGUACGAGGUGGCUCCGCGCUCCGACAGCGAGGAGAGCGGCUCCGAGGAGGAGGAGGAGGAGGAGGAGGAGGAGCAGCCCCAGCCGGCCCAGCCCGCCCUGCCCGUGGAGGAGAAAAAGAAAAUUCCGGACCCCGACAGCGACGACGUCUCGGAGGUGGACGCCCGACACAUC
Zonotrichia albicollis (white-throated sparrow) is the source of this 199-nucleotide non-coding RNA. Lineage: Eukaryota; Metazoa; Chordata; Aves; Passeriformes; Passerellidae. The record is from RefSeq and is a predicted model, not a curated record.